Molecule: transfer RNA, 66 nt
Filed under: Platyptilia sp. DM741
Lineage: Eukaryota; Metazoa; Arthropoda; Insecta; Lepidoptera; Pterophoridae
Description: tRNA-Glu
Source: RNAcentral
AUUUAUAUAGUUUAAAUAAAACAUUACAUUUUCAUUGUAGUAAUAAAAAAAUUUUUUUUUUAUAAA